This 159-nucleotide ribosomal RNA is filed under the name Clusia fructiangusta. Its description in RNAcentral is "5.8S ribosomal RNA". It matches the Rfam family "5.8S ribosomal RNA". From Rfam's summary of the family: 5.8S ribosomal RNA (5.8S rRNA) is a component of the large subunit of the eukaryotic ribosome. The record is from RNAcentral. Lineage: Eukaryota; Viridiplantae; Streptophyta; Magnoliopsida; Malpighiales; Clusiaceae. RNAcentral also lists the same sequence under 1 other name.
ACAAAACGACUCUCGGCAACGGAUAUCUCGGCUCUCGCAUCGAUGAAGAACGUAGCGAAAUGCGAUACUUGGUGUGAAUUGCAGAAUCCCGUGAACCAUCGAGUCUUUGAACGCAAGUUGCGCCCAAAGCCUUUUGGUUGAGGGCACGUCUGCCUGGGU